CAAUCUUCAACAUCUUUAGCUACUUCCAUUUUGGUGUCUUCUUACAUAAUAACAGUGCCAAAACAGCAGUAUGAGUUCCCUAUCCUCCCUUGGGUGAAAAUGGUGACAAACAAGGAAGAAAAGGAAGUGGUGGAGCUUGUUGGAUACAUACUUGAUCAUAUCCUUUACUCUCACCCUUCCUAAACUCUCCUUAAACCCUACAGGUACACGCAGCUUUAAUCCCUUCUUAUCUUCUACUUUAUUUUUAGCACAAU
Molecule: non-coding RNA, 254 nt
Organism: Camelina sativa (false flax)
Lineage: Eukaryota; Viridiplantae; Streptophyta; Magnoliopsida; Brassicales; Brassicaceae
Source: RefSeq, a predicted model, not a curated record